This 182-nucleotide ribosomal RNA is filed under the name uncultured bacterium. RNAcentral describes it as "partial 16S ribosomal RNA". It matches the Rfam family "Bacterial small subunit ribosomal RNA", at positions 1311 to 1500 of the family's 1533-position model. The record is from RNAcentral.
CUCGACUCCAUGAAGCUGGAUUCGCUAGUAAUCGCGCAUCAGCCAUGGCGCGGUGAAUACGUUCCCGGGCCUUGUACACACCGCCCGUCAAGCCAUGGAAGCCGGGAGUGCCUGAAGUGUGCAACCGCAAGGAGCGCCCUAAGGUAAAACUGGUGACUGGGGCUAAGUCGUAACAAGGUAGC